AUUGAACGCUGGCGGCGGGCUUAACACAUGCAAGUCGAGCGGAGCGAGGGUGCUUGCACCUUAGCUUAGCGGCGGACGGGUGAGUAAUGCUUAGGAAUCUGCCUAUUAGUGGGGGACAACAUUCCGAAAGGAAUGCUAAUACCGCAUACGCCCUACGGGGGAAAGCAGGGGAUCUUCGGACCUUGCGCUAAUAGAUGAGCCUAAGUCGGAUUAGCUAGUUGGUGGGGUAAAGGCCUACCAAGGCGACGAUCUGUAGCGGGUCUGAGAGGAUGAUCCGCCACACUGGGACUGAGACACGCCCCAGACUCCUACGGGAGGCAGCAGUGGGGAAUAUUGGACAAUGGGCGGAAGCCUGAUCCAGCCAUGCCGCGUGUGUGAAGAAGGCCUUUUGGUUGUAAGGCACUUUAAGCGAGGAGGAGGCUACUUAGAUUAAUACUCUGGGAUAGUGGACGUUACUCGCAGAAUAAGCACCGGCUAACCCUGUGCCAGCAGCCGCCGUAA
Molecule: ribosomal RNA, 501 nt
Filed under: uncultured bacterium
Lineage: Bacteria
Description: partial 16S ribosomal RNA
Rfam family: Bacterial small subunit ribosomal RNA
Source: RNAcentral